CACAGCGCCUGGCCAAAAACAAUUCUUUAAAAAUAUCAGGAAAAACUGAGAAUCUGCUCCAGAUUAAAGGAGACUUAAACAAACAACAAACUGACCACUGGACACAGCAUGUGAUCUGGGGGGUUUCUCUUACAAGAGAGGUUGUAACGAUUGGUAAAAUUUAAGUAAGCCUAGGUUAGCUGGUAUAAUAAUGCUGUAUCCACAUUAACUUCCUGAUUUUGAUGGCUCCUUUGUGGUUAUUGACAUGGUAGAGAUGAGGGUCUCGCUAUGUUGCCUAGGCUGAUCUCAAACUCCUGACCUCAAGUGAUCCUCCCACUUUGGCCUCCCAAAGUGCUGGGAUUAUGGCAUGAGCCAAUAAGCAGUUGGUGCUGAGAACCACCAAACUCGUUGAACCAGAGGGACCAGUCCCUGGAAACACUCUUGGCAAGUUGAAGCAUGGUCCUGCCUGUGCCGGUGGUGGCUGUGGGGGUGGGAGCAUUUAGGUGAGGUGAGCUUAGGGAUGAAGUGCUCUGGCACCCACCCAGGUCCUCCUCCACAUCCGGCUUCCCCCAGACCUCGGGCAAAGACCCAGCGGGGAGCAACACCCCCCACAUGGAGGCGGCAGCAUCUGGAAGGUGACGGGGAGGAGCUUCCCAGGCUUCCCGGGUUGGACACGGAGCCCCGGUUUCUGGCUCCUAGCCAGGGUGUUUAGACUGCUUUGGCCCACUUGCCAGUACAGCCCUAAGACACACGCCGCUCCAACCACACAACCCCAGAGCUCAGCCCUAAGCUGCAAACUCGCUGUACAAAGUAAGUGGGACCACGUUUUAGUUUUGCAAUCUUUUGGGAACACUGAAAAACAAAAAACAAACAAACAAAAAAACUGGUCCUUCCCCAGAUUUAGUCUGAGAAAAACUUAACUUUGGAAGGCAAUCCCCUCACUUUACCCAGAAAGCUGAAGUCCAAAGACAGUAAGUGACCUCCCCAUGGCUAAUGACAGAACCCAGGAGUAGGAGUAGAGUAGAAAACAGAGUGGAAGGAAACUAACAACUGCACUUCUCACCCUCCUCCUCUCAGUCAGUGGGUCUCACUGAAGCCCCCUGAAGCAGUAAGGGCUGCGGGGCCCACACUCUAAAUGAGUCUAAGGCAAUUUCAGGUUCAUGGUAGAUGGCUUCCUAAUGUAUCUCCUUCUCUGAAGCUGUAGAGACGCUGAGAACAAGGGGGAGUCCUCAGCUAACUGCCAGAUGCCCGGGUGUGAGAGGAAAUGAGGCCGAAAGCCCAAGAGGUCAUGCAAAUGACAGCAGACAAGGCCACCAUGGGAUUUGUCCACCCUGGGUGUGGCAACUGUCUGUGCAGUGCCUAUGCCCUGCACAGACAUAGGCAGAGGCCCACAGCAACUCUAAAGGGCCCUCCCAGAAAUAGCCAGCCAGGUUGAGCAGGGCUAAAAAAGAAGAUGAAGGGGUCUCUUUCCUUUCCAAUACCUCCUCUCUUCCUGAGCAUCGUCCCCUCAUUCCAAAAAGGAGCUGUAACGGAGUGAAGGGGAAUGGAGUGGGAAAUUAGUGACAACUCCUGAGACCCUGGACCUGGUCUUCCGGCCCGCCCAGUCACCACACUGCCUUUUCCAGAACAAGAAAACCCACAACAGAGAGGACAACUCUGGCAGGACCCAGGAGAUAAGGUUGGAGCUGGAAGUCAACAUGAACACAGCUCAGUGGGGCUGCUGACCAAGACUGUAGGUGGGGAGGAGUCAUUUUCCCCACUAGGGACCCACAGAGAGCCUCUGGUAAAAAGAAUAUGAAAUCAAACAACCUCCUCUAAAGUCUUCCUGGAACUAGGAAGGAAGACCACAGCUACUACCAACCUGCCCCAACCUCACAUUAGGACCCAGAGAAGUAGUCACCGCCUCCUAGGGCAGGAAGGCCCAUCCCUGGGGGACCUGUCUCUAGCCCUAAAAUGCUGAACUUCUUUUCUGAGGGAUUCCCCUGCACCCUUCUCCCCACCGACAAAGCCCAGAGAAAAAGAGUGAGGAGCAGGGAAAGAAGAUGGAAAACCCAAGAUAAUCUCCUCCUUACAGGAUGAUAUAAAGUAACUGCAAGCAGACAAUUCAAAGGAAGCCCCAAAGUCAGCUACGAGAGAUGGAGACAGAAGGGAAGUAAGGAAGAGUGCCCAGAGGAGCACAGCACUCUCACAGAGAGGAGGAAGUACCACACAGCAGGAAUGCAGGUAAAUGGUCUGAUGUCCGAGAGGAUCCUAGGAUACUGCGUCCCGCCCCACCUGAACAGUCACAGCCAAAACAGCCUCCCCAAUCCCGGGACAUGUUCCCUCUGCCACACGGCUGCUAAGAUCUAAUGGUUAUGGUCCCAGCAGUCCCCAGCAUCUGCUAAAUGCUGGGCUGGUCUUGGGGUCUCAUCCACCCUGGCAGUCUCUCAGGAACAUCUCAGCUUUUCAAUUAAUUAUGCCACAGAUAUGCCCGUUAAAUGUGGUAUACCCUAGACAGUGACUCUCUGGCAUUCAGCCUUCAUGGACCAAAAAAAAAAAAAAACAAAAAAAAGCGGCCGCCCCCUUCGGGUUGGCCACCCUCGCCCUCCGGCGGGGCUGCAGCCGGGGCCGGCGAGGCGGGGUGGGGCACGCGGACCUUCCAGCCUAGGCCCUCGGCCGAGCCUCGCUCGGUGUCCCCACUUCCUGCCACUCCCUGCGGGCCAGAUCUGUCCGGGACAGCCCCGGCGCCCCCGGGAGGCCUGAGCGCCGGGCCCGACUGACCCCCCUGUCCCAGCUGCCGCUGGCUCAUUCCGAGGCAGGACAAUGGGGGACAUCGCGCGUUUGCGUACCGAGUCAGCCUGGCCGGCAAGAAGGGGUUGCUCGGGGGCAGAGGCUAAGGGCACCCUCGCAGGGGUCACGGCCGAAUGCCCUGUCCAGGUGGACCCCACGGCCCUGCCAUCACCAGCCUCCCCCGCGCCGCGCUCGAUUCUUUCGCGUCGAAAACAAAGACUAAUCCGAUACCCCCG
Molecule: long non-coding RNA, 2984 nt
Filed under: Homo sapiens (human)
Lineage: Eukaryota; Metazoa; Chordata; Mammalia; Primates; Hominidae
Description: non-protein coding DGUOK-AS1:7
Source: RNAcentral